CUGCAAGACCAGGUCUGGCUUGAUAGUCUUGAGAGUGAAGAAGCAGGUUUCGAUUUCUAAUAAAACAGAAAUCGCAAACUACCAUCUCUAUGGCUACUUUAGCCUCUUUGCGAGAUCGAGAAGUUGUGCGAAACAUAGCGCAUUUACCAAUCGUCCCGGGCCUUCCAUUGUUUCCGACUGGGCUGAUCAGGCUACCGUCGGCGAUUUUCACUUGUAAAUUAAGCAACGGGCAUGAAAAAGACAUAGUAACAAGCAAGACGAAGUGAAUAAAAUGGCUCAUCAGUUUUUGUUAGUGAAAUCACAAAAUCAAAAUAACUUAGGACCAUUUCAAAUUCCAGUCAUCUCACUAGCGAAUCUGCCAGUGAAGUGACAAGAUAAAGUUUUUUAUAUUAAGAAAAAUUACCCGGCAAAGAAAAGAAUAAAUUAGUGGCAAGAAAUUCAGUGCAACUUUCGUAUGAAUUUCCUCUCAGUUCAACCAUAUCGCUCUCAAAACAAGGUUGACGAGAGUGUUAAAUUACUCUCUCCAUCCCAAAUUAGAUGAGCUUGACUUUGGGCACGUAACUUAAGGUGCAUUGACCGUAUAGUUCCGAAAUUUAUUUUUCUAAUUUUCUUUUGUAAAUUAAAAUUUCAUAUUUAAAUUUUUAUUUUAAAAAAUAAAAUUUCAAAAAUAAGUAAUGUAUCUAUACGAUCAAUGGACUUUAAAGCGCGUGCGGCGUGCCCGAAAUCAACGAGCUCAUCUAAUUUGGGAUUAAUUUGGGAUGAAGGGAGGACUGAAGAAAAGUCUUCCUAUUAGGGAUCGGCAUUCACCCCGCCCCGCUCGACCCCGAUCCGAUCCCCGCCCCGUUCGGGUCGGGGAUUCGGGGAAUUUUUCGGGGGCGGGGCGGGGAUCGGGGAAAGUUCUAUAAAAAAUUCGGGGAUCGGGGCGGGGUCGGGGAUUGGUGUCUCCCCGCCCCGAUCCCCGACCCCGAUUAUAUAUAUAUAUAUAUAAUGGACCCUGUGCAGGAGCAUGUUGGCCCAUUCAUAGGCCCUAAAUUGAUUUGCGAAGAAACUGAACUGUAAGUCUGCAAGUGAAAAAGUUUACCUUCCAAAGCUGCAAGACCAGGUCUGGCUUGAUAGUCUUGAGAGUGAAGAAGCAGGUUUCGAUUUCUAAUAAAACAGAAAUCGCAAACUACCAUCUCUAUGGCUACUUUAGCCUCUUUGCGAGAUCGAGAAGUUGUGCGAAACAUAGCGCAUUUACCAAUCGUCCCGGGCCUUCCAUUGUUUCCGACUGGGCUGAUCAGGCUACCGUCGGCGAUUUUCACUUGUAAAUUAAGCAACGGGCAUGAAAAAGACAUAGUAACAAGCAAGACGA
RNAcentral lists this long non-coding RNA (1351 nucleotides) under Daucus carota (carrot). RNAcentral describes it as "long non-coding RNA (DCAR_LNC000662)". The record is from RNAcentral. Lineage: Eukaryota; Viridiplantae; Streptophyta; Magnoliopsida; Apiales; Apiaceae.